GACGAACGCUGGCGGUGUGCUUAACACAUGCAAGUCGAACGGAAAGGCCCUUCGGGGUACUCGAGUGGCGAACGGGUGAGUAACACGUGGGUGAUCUGCCCUGCACUUUGGGAUAAGCCUGGGAAACUGGGUCUAAUACCGAAUAUGACCGCGCACUUCCUGGUGUGUGGUGGAAAGCUUUUGCGGUGUGGGAUGGGCCCGCGGCCUAUCAGCUUGUUGGUGGGGUAAUGGCCUACCAAGGCGACGACGGGUAGCCGGCCUGAGAGGGUGACCGGCCACACUGGGACUGAGAUACGGCCCAGACUCCUACGGGAGGCAGCAGUGGGGAAUAUUGCACAAUGGGCGCAAGCCUGAUGCAGCGACGCCGCGUGAGGGAUGACGGCCUUCGGGUUGUAAACCUCUUUCAAUAGGGACGAAGCGCAAGUGACGGUACCUAUAGAAGAAGGACCGGCCAACUACGUGCCAGCAGCCGCGGUAAUACGUAGGGUCCGAGCGUUGUCCGGAAUUACUGGGCGUAAAGAGCUCGUAGGUGGUUUGUCGCGUUGUUCGUGAAAACUCACAGCUUAACUGUGGGCGUGCGGGCGAUACGGGCAGACUAGAGUACUGCAGGGGAGACUGGAAUUCCUGGU
This 629-nucleotide ribosomal RNA is filed under the name uncultured bacterium. RNAcentral describes it as "bacterial SSU rRNA". It matches the Rfam family "Bacterial small subunit ribosomal RNA", at positions 28 to 674 of the family's 1533-position model. The record is from RNAcentral.